RNAcentral lists this ribosomal RNA (478 nucleotides) under uncultured bacterium. Its description in RNAcentral is "partial 16S ribosomal RNA". It matches the Rfam family "Bacterial small subunit ribosomal RNA", at positions 28 to 523 of the family's 1533-position model. The record is from RNAcentral.
GACGAACGCUGGCGGCGUGCUUAACACAUGCAAGUCGAACGGUAAGGCCCUUCGGGGUACACGAGUGGCGAACAGGUGAGUAACACGUGGGUGAUCUGCCCUGCACUUCGGGAUAAGCCUGGGAAACUGGGUCUAAUACCGGAUAGGACCACUGCCUGCAUGGGUGGUGGUGGAAAGCUUUUGCGGUGUGGGAUGGGCCCGCGGCCUAUCAGCUUGUUGGUGGGGUGAUGGCCUACCAAGGCGACGACGGGUAGCCGGCCUGGGAGGGUGACCGGCCACACUGGGACUGGGAUGCGGACCAGGCUCCGACGGGGGGCAGCAGUGGGGAAUAUUGCACAAUGGGCGCAAGCCUGGUGCAGCGACGCCGCGUGAGGGAUGACGGCCCUCGGGUUGUAAACCUCUUUCAGCACCGACGAAGCGCAAGUGACGGUAGGUGCAGAAGAAGGACCGGCCAACUACGUGCCAGCCGCCGCCGUAA